UCAUUUAAUUAGAAAUCUGUUGGGUUUAAAAUCGGUCUUUAAGCAGCGUGGCCUACACGCGCCUUUCGUUUUCUCUCUCCAAAGAGAGAUCACCAUCUGCGUGUGUGGAGGCUCUCCGGUUUACAUUACGGCGACCUCGCCGGACCCGUGUGUAGCUCUCCCACCCCUCCCUUUCAAGAUCUUCAAAGCUUAAUGGUCGGAGCAGUCUAGAUCCCGCCUCCGGAGGAUGGUGGAGUUGCGGCUGGAAACGGAAACAUAGACAUCGGGGCCUAGGGUUUAUACUUUCGGAUCUUCGAGAGAAUUUGCCAACGACGGAGCAGUCUUUGAGGAUGGCGGUUCCUUGGGAUCUGUCUCCUCCGGUGCGGAUUUCUUCUCGGCUUAGAGGCGAUGGCGGGUUGUACGCGAUGCGUCGGACCUGCGAGUUUGGUGGCGUAACAGAGUAAUUGCGGUGGUUAGGGCUUUGGGUUUCGAUUUCUUUAUAGAUCCGGCGUCAGUGGCCGCGGGUCCCCUCCGACAGUGGUCCCUUUGCGGUGAGUAUUGACGAAGCAGAGGCUGGUUUGGACACCCAGCCGAAGUAAAGUCACGAUUUCUGGAUUUGGAGACUUAAGUAUUCAUCGGAGUUAAAGCUCUACUUCUCACCGAGGAACCGAAUCAUCUUGCUAUUUGUAAUUGCUGUUGUUUCAUGUUCUGCUUGCUCUUUGGAACCUAUGGCCGUGCUUUUCUCCGGUAAACCGGAAUUGAUGUACUGUUUCGAGAUUCCUUUUUAAGGGUUGAUUUUUAAUUAAUUUUAUUAUUAAAAAAAAUCUGCUAAGCCUUUUGCUACAUUUCAUCAAAUCAUGCGUGACAUGUGUACUACGUUUUUCUUCUCUGCCUGACAGAUUUAAUUAAAUGGGCUUUUUAAAUUUGUUGUGUUUACUAAUCAAACCCAUAACAUACACACUAUAAAUACCCUCUCCGUCUUCAACAUUUUCAUAUUUUUGGUUGUUUUUUAACAUUUUCAUAUUUGAUUUCUAAGGUUCAAUAAUGUUCUUCAUCCUCUGCUUCGGUAAACUGUCCACAGAGUUUUUGAACGGUGAUGAUAGAGGAGAAUCUCAGGAGCAAUUUGACAUACGUGUCUUAACGCUGGGUAAGAAAAAUUGAAACGUUGCGGAUGCAUUCAAUCGUUGUCAUUAACGACGAUCUUAAUUUCUUUAUCCCAUUCAUAUCAUGAUCCUCAUUCAAUGCAUCUCUCCUCUCUUCAGUCGGUAAAUCUCAUUUAUAAAAAGAUUAGCCGUCAUGUCCUGAACACCAUCCUUUCAUUUCUUACAAUCCAAAAAAAAAAAAAUUCUGCAGAAUGACGAUCUCAUCUAUCCUUCCCACGGAUUUAAAAUCAGGUCUCUGUAGACCAUCGUCGAAGUUUGUUUCCUCAAUUCUGGGAGUCGAAGAAUGUGCGAAGAGGCGGCGAGCCUAUCUACGUCAAUAUGAUUCCUCUUGACUCGAAGAGAUUACAUCUCCUCUGCAAUUCGGCUCCAUAACGUCUCUGCCAUUAUUCAAUCGAUGCAACUAAGGACCCCUUUACAUCACUUGAACCAAGAGGAACGAUUGGCUUCCACUACGACGCAUUCAAUACCCCUCCCCUUCUCCAUGGUUACAUAAGAAAUAUUCUAUUAUAAAUAAGGAUGUAAUCUUCGAUUGAACUCAUCACUACGAUGAUAAAGUUUUGUGUUUCAUUGAGGGAUAUUUAUGUGUCUUUGAUAUAGGUAAAUCAUUGUUUUUUU
Molecule: long non-coding RNA, 1757 nt
Organism: Brassica napus (rape)
Lineage: Eukaryota; Viridiplantae; Streptophyta; Magnoliopsida; Brassicales; Brassicaceae
Exons: 3
Source: RefSeq, a predicted model, not a curated record